Molecule: ribosomal RNA, 253 nt
Filed under: uncultured bacterium
Lineage: Bacteria
Description: partial 16S ribosomal RNA
Rfam family: Bacterial small subunit ribosomal RNA
Source: RNAcentral
UACGAAGGGGGCUAGCGUUGUUCGGAAUCACUGGGCGUAAAGCGCACGUAGGCGGAUCUUUAAGUCAGGGGUGAAAUCCCGAGGCUCAACCUCGGAACUGCCUUUGAUACUGGGGAUCUCGAGUCCGGGAGAGGUGAGUGGAACUGCGAGUGUAGAGGUGAAAUUCGUAGAUAUUCGCAAGAACACCAGUGGCGAAGGCGGCUCACUGGCCCAGAACUGACGCUGAGGUGCGAAAGCGUGGGGAGCAAACAGG